This 488-nucleotide ribosomal RNA is filed under the name Proteus mirabilis. RNAcentral's name for it is "partial 23S ribosomal RNA". It matches the Rfam family "Bacterial large subunit ribosomal RNA", at positions 455 to 771 of the family's 2925-position model. Lineage: Bacteria; Pseudomonadati; Pseudomonadota; Gammaproteobacteria; Enterobacterales; Morganellaceae. The record is from RNAcentral.
AUCCUCCAAGGCUAAAUACUCCUGAUUGACCGAUAGUGAACCAGUACCGUGAGGGAAAGGCGAAAAGAACCCCGGCGAGGGGAGUGAAAAAGAACCUGAAACCGUGUACGUACAAGCAGUAGGAGCCCCAUCACUCAAGUGCCUCGCACUGAGUGAUGCAAGAACAUCACCGAAAAUAGCGCCGAAUUUGCUAACAAGGUUGGUCGAUUUUUUCAAGCCGUCGCGCAGUGUACCUAGAAGUACACGAGCAACGGAAGUUAAAAAAUCGGGCAAGAUUGAACGCAAAGGCAAGCGGGACAUUUGAGGAUGGGGUGACUGCGUACCUUUUGUAUAAUGGGUCAGCGACUUAUAUUCUGUAGCAAGGUUAACCGUAUAGGGGAGCCGUAGGGAAACCGAGUCUUAACUGGGCGAAUGAGUUGCAGGGUAUAGACCCGAAACCCGGUGAUCUAUCCAUGGGCAGGUUGAAGGUUGGGUAACACUAACUGGAG